Molecule: long non-coding RNA, 533 nt
Organism: Astatotilapia calliptera (eastern happy)
Lineage: Eukaryota; Metazoa; Chordata; Actinopteri; Cichliformes; Cichlidae
Source: Ensembl
UGAAACACUGCUACAGUUACAAUAAAGAUUAUCACUUGAUCUCUUCAUAGUGCAUCAUGACAGAUAAUAAUUUAAUUGUGAAUUGUACUGAAUUAAACAAGUGCAGUUUAUGUACCUGCAGUAAUUAAAUGUGUUUUAUUCUCAGAAUGUGAUUCAGCUGUGAUCUACUCAGCAGUGAAAACUGAAGAUGUCAGUUAUGGACAAACAACCAUCAGAGCAAGAAGGCCCAGAGUUUCUACCAGAGCCAAAUGUCAUCUACUCCUCACUGAAGUCGUCCACCAGUCCAACCACUGGGAUCCAGCUGCUGCUCUCUAACUGGUCCACACAGCAGCUCAGACCUGACACAUUCACUGACAUUUACACCGGGAGAUGCUGGACUAGAGCAACUCAGAUAUUGAAGGACCCGUCUCAUCCCAGCAAUAAACUGUUCCAGCUUGUGCAACAAUCAGGCAGAAGGUUCUGCACCAUUACCACAUUCUCAUAUCAUCCUGAUCCUUCCAGCUUCACUACAGCACAUUGACUUUAAAACCCAC